Molecule: ribosomal RNA, 461 nt
Filed under: uncultured bacterium
Lineage: Bacteria
Description: bacterial SSU rRNA
Rfam family: Bacterial small subunit ribosomal RNA
Source: RNAcentral
CCUACGGGUGGCUGCAGUCGAGAAUAUUUCGCAAUGGGGGCAACCCUGACGAUGCGACGCCGCGUGGGGGAUGAAGGUCUUCGGAUUGUAAACCUCUGUGUUAUGGGAAGAACUGCUGGUAGGUGAUAAGCUUGCUAGCUUGACGGUACCAUAGUAGAAAGCCCCAGCUAACUGCGUGCCAGCAGCUGCGGUAAUACGUGGGGGGCAAGCGUUGUCCGGAUUUACUGGGCGUAAAGCGUGUGUAGGCGGUUACAUAAGUCGAGUGUGAAAUGGCUUGGCUCAACCAAGCAACUGCGCUCGAAACUGUGUAGCUUGAGUACGGAAGAGGAAAGUGGAAUGUAAGGUGUAGCGGUGAAAUGCGUAGAUAUCUUAUAGAACACCUAUGGCGAAGGCAGCUUUCUGGUCCGAUACUGACGCUGAGACACGAAAGCUUGGGGAGCGAACGGGAUUAGAUACCCGGG